Molecule: transfer RNA, 21 nt
Filed under: Polytrichastrum sphaerothecium
Lineage: Eukaryota; Viridiplantae; Streptophyta; Polytrichopsida; Polytrichales; Polytrichaceae
Description: partial tRNA-Phe
Source: RNAcentral
AAAAAAGCCGGGAUAGCUCAG